CGCGGGAUAAAGCAGUGGUAGCUUGACGGGGUUCAUAUCCCUGGAGUCGCAGGUUCGAAUCCUGCUCCCGCAA
Molecule: transfer RNA, 73 nt
Filed under: Siphoviridae sp. ct96x5
Lineage: Duplodnaviria; Heunggongvirae; Uroviricota; Caudoviricetes
Also listed under: 1 other name
Description: tRNA-Met
Rfam family: tRNA
About the family: Transfer RNA (tRNA) molecules are approximately 80 nucleotides in length. Their secondary structure includes four short double-helical elements and three loops (D, anti-codon, and T loops).
Source: RNAcentral